Long non-coding RNA from Lolium rigidum, 315 nucleotides. RefSeq lists it as uncharacterized. The transcript has 3 exons. The record is from RefSeq and is a predicted model, not a curated record. Lineage: Eukaryota; Viridiplantae; Streptophyta; Magnoliopsida; Poales; Poaceae.
GCUGUCCUGUGGAGUGUGGACUAUCCACUUCGGUUCUAUCCAGCUGCUACGAAAAUCUACAUAGUGUCAUUUAUUCAACUUAACCAAGGAAGCAAUCGAGAACAAUUCGAUACACUGAUCUGGAGAUUGGUAAUCAGUUAACUAGUCAACGUUAACCCCGAAAUGGAAUUAAUCUAGUGGCUAGGGAUCAACAGAUCCUACCAAGUUGGUUUCAUCAUGCGUAUGGAGGGAUGAAUUGAGGGAACCACUAGAAAAAUUGGGUGAAAGAACCAGGUCUCAUUGGAGCUCCAAUCACCUGACCAACAACACUCCAAA